Molecule: ribosomal RNA, 301 nt
Filed under: uncultured bacterium
Lineage: Bacteria
Description: partial 16S ribosomal RNA
Rfam family: Archaeal small subunit ribosomal RNA
Source: RNAcentral
CAGUCGCCGCGGGAACACCAGCACCUCGAGUGGUCAGGAGGUUUAUUGGGCCUAAAGCAUCCGUAGCCGGUUGCAUAAGUUUUCGGUUAAAUCUAUGCGCUUAACGUAUAGGCCGCCGAAAAUACUGUGCAGCUAGGGAGUGGGAGAGGUACACGGUACUCGAUAGGAAGGGGUAAAAUCCUUUGAUCUAUUGAUGACCACCUGUGGCGAAGGCGGUGUACCAGAACACGUUCGACGGUGAGGGAUGAAAGCUGGGGGAGCAAACCGGAUUAGAUACCCGAGUAGUCCCUGUCUCUUAUAC